This 484-nucleotide ribosomal RNA is filed under the name uncultured bacterium. RNAcentral's name for it is "partial 16S ribosomal RNA". It matches the Rfam family "Bacterial small subunit ribosomal RNA", at positions 29 to 507 of the family's 1533-position model. The record is from RNAcentral.
AUUGAACGCUGGCGGCAUGCUUUACACAUGCAAGUCGGACGGCAGCGCGGGCUUCGGCCUGGCGGCGAGUGGCGAACGGGUGAGUAAUACAUCGGAACGUGCCCAGUAGUGGGGGAUAGCUCGGCGAAAGCCGGAUUAAUACCGCAUACGACCUGAGGGUGAAAGCGGGGGACUUUAGGGCCUCGCGCUAUUGGAGCGGCCGAUGGCAGAUUAGCUAGUUGGUGGGGUAAAGGCCUACCAAGGCGACGAUCUGUAGCUGGUCUGAGAGGACGACCAGCCACACUGGGACUGAAACACGGCCCAGACUCCUACGGGAGGCAGCAGUGGGGAAUUUUGGACAAUGGGCGCAAGCCUGAUCCAGCAAUGCCGCGUGUGUGAUGAAGGCCUUCGGGUUGUAAAGCACUUUUGGCAGGAACGAAAAGUGCCGUGCUAAUACCACGGUACGAUGACGGUACCUGCAGAAUAAGCACCGGCUAACUACGUG